UAUGCUGUAAGCCGUAACUUCGAGAUUAGAGAUCAAAGACCGCCACCGGUCCAACUACUGACGUAUCAGAUCACUGGAAAACCUAUGGUAUAGUUCUACGGGAUCCUGACUGGGACAAAAGAGUUAAGUGUACGGCUCCAGUUCCGGAAGUGAAAGUCCGUAUAUAAAGACUUUCAAGCCUGGAUCAAUAAAACAUUUUGUUCUGAGCAAAAGAAUAAUGGAAAACAGGAAAAAGGCAAAGGUACAAGGCUUUGUACAUAAUUAUUUGAAGUGAUUACUCGACCCAUAAAUCAAUGCCUUCCCAACGACUUCCAACCAAUCACAGACGUCAAUGUUACACAAUAGGAUUGUGGGUAGUGUAGAUCUUUUCAAUGACAUCGCGAAUAACUUUUUUUUUCUUAAAAUAAGGUUGAUAUCAUACAGAUUUGUGGCUUCCACAGGUGCAUAUAUCAUCGUUUCACAACCCCACAGCUCGUGCACAUGAACACACCGAGAUGUGGAACAACAACCCCCAAAACUUGGAAAGUGGGACCCUCCUAGUUGCAUGUGAACGCACAACUUGUCAAUGAAGUCUUACCUGUGGAAGGUCACUGUUAGACCAUCUCGUACUGGUUGUUGGUGAUGUAUCGAGACAAGCAGCAAGCCAGGAAUAUCCCAAUGAGCUGAGAAGAAAAAUAUUGAGGUGUCAAAACAAAGACACUUUUACACAUAUUUUGGGUGUUUUUCAACCACACUCGGACCAUGAUCAGUAACAGUGUCUUUAAACCGUCGGCCGACAGCCAACAAACGCAGAUUUAUUAUAAACAUGUCUGGAUGGUUAUUUUUAAUUCAGUGAUUUUGUUGAUGUUUCCCCAGUAGACUCUGUCUGUCACUGCAUCUCCAGAUUUAAUAAGCGAAAGGAAGAAAAAUUUACUAAAUGGUCGGGAAAAAAAAUAUGAUUUGUACUUUAACCCACCGGACUCACAACACGCCUCCAUUUGCUCUGAGGCUAAAAAACAUCUGAGAAAACAUGCAAUGUACCUGGAAGAAUGCAAUCCCAAACGAGAUCCCUGCGAUGAUUCCCAGGUUGGAUUCCAUUACACUGGUCACCAUGGCAAAGCAGCCCUACACAUAAAAGAAAGCAAUUUCUUUUUAUAGAGAGGCCUUUAAAGUUAUCUACAGUAUUUCACUGGUUUGAAGCUACAUGAUAUCUAGUGUUGGUGUAGGCAGUGAACUCACCGUCGUGUACACCUCAUUUUCAGCCUUGUCGAGGUCUUUCAGGGUCUCAGGGUCACACUUGGCGCUUUCUUUGCAGCAGCUGGCUGGGAUGCCCUUCUCUUUAAAGUAAGCUGUGUCGCUCCAGUCCGUGUAAUUUUUCACUCCGCAGCAGUGCAACUACAUGGAUUAAAGCCAACGACAAAAAACAUUGGAAUAAA
Molecule: long non-coding RNA, 1415 nt
Organism: Scophthalmus maximus (turbot)
Lineage: Eukaryota; Metazoa; Chordata; Actinopteri; Pleuronectiformes; Scophthalmidae
Exons: 2
Source: RefSeq, a predicted model, not a curated record